RNAcentral lists this non-coding RNA (182 nucleotides) under Solibacillus silvestris. RNAcentral also lists the same sequence under 1 other name. The record is from RNAcentral. Lineage: Bacteria; Bacillati; Bacillota; Bacilli; Caryophanales; Caryophanaceae.
AUAAAUUUGCAGGAAAAAGAUGCAUUAUGCAUAAAUGGGAAUUCGGUGUAAAUCCGAAGCUAUUUCCGUAACUGUAAGCGUUGAUGAAAAUAAGUGUAAGACCACUGCUAAUAUAGCGGGAAGGUACUUAUGAGUAAAGUGAAACGCAGAGCCAGGAGACCAAUCUUUUUCUUAUCGUAACA